AGCAGCCGCGGUAAUUCCAGCUCCAAUAGCGUAUAUUAAAGUUGUUGCAGUUAAAAAGCUCGUAGUUGAAUUUCGGGAUCAAUAUGUUGGUCGUGCCUCGGUACGUACUAGCUUAUUGGUUUCUCCUUUCUGAAGAACCAUGAUGUCAUUUAUUUGGUGUCGUGGGGAAUCAGGACUGUUACUUUGAAAAAUUAGAGUGUUUAAAGCAGGCUCACGCUUGAAUACAUUAGCAUGGAAUAAUGAAAUAGGACGUUUGAUUCUAUUUUGUUGGUUUCUAGGACCGACGUAAUGAUUAAUAGGGAUAGUUGGGGGCAUUAGUAUUCAAUUGUCAGAGGUGAAAUUCUUGGAUUUAUUGAAGACUAACUACUGCGAAAGCAUUUGCCAAGGGUGUUUUCAUUAAUCAAGAACGAAAGUUAGGGGAUCGAAGACGAUCAGAUACCGUCGUAGUCUUAACCAUAAACUAUGCCGACUAGGGAUCGGAUGAUGUUAAUUUUUAAUGACUCAUUCGGCGCCUUACGGG
This 520-nucleotide ribosomal RNA is filed under the name uncultured Glomus. RNAcentral describes it as "SSU rRNA". It matches the Rfam family "Eukaryotic small subunit ribosomal RNA", at positions 569 to 1094 of the family's 1831-position model. Lineage: Eukaryota; Fungi; Glomeromycota; Glomeromycetes; Glomerales; Glomeraceae. The record is from RNAcentral.